This 289-nucleotide long non-coding RNA is filed under the name Cavia porcellus (domestic guinea pig). Its description in RNAcentral is "lncRNA (ENSCPOG00000034204.1)". Lineage: Eukaryota; Metazoa; Chordata; Mammalia; Rodentia; Caviidae. The record is from RNAcentral.
AAAAAUUGUGCGGCACACUGGUGAGCUGACAGGUGAAGAGGUAGACACAGCAUCACGGAGACCUACUACAGCAACAGAAAAACAAAAAAGAUGCCAACUGUGCCCUACAAGAAAGUACAGGAAAAGAAAACCUGCACGCUAUCAGUCUACACACUGUGUAAUAUAAUAAGAAGCUCCUGACAAAACAGCAAGACACUAAGAUGUCCAGUAUGUCCUACAAAAAAAGGCCAGGAACACAAAACAUGCUGUCAGGGUAAGCAAUGUGGGUAUAUGGGACUUGCUAUUGUUC